GUGAGAGAGAGAAAAGAGACCCGACCAUUGUACCAUUCUGGGCCCCAGCUUCCACCAAGUAUCGGGACCCCAGCCCUGGAAACCAACCCCCAAAUCGCUCUCCUCUUCUUAGAAUAAGAUAAUUUAUCUCCCACUUUGAAUCUGUGGUCCCACCCCUCCUCUUCUCUUGUCUAGACUUCCAAGUGCUGGCUUUCACCACACUGCCCCACCUUGUUCCCCCCUCAAGCUCUCAGCCUUCAUCUUCGGAUUGCCACUUUCUCCUUCACAGCUAAGGUCUGGAUUUGUGAUUCGUUGAGCUGACAAGGACAGGGAGCUGGGGCAGGUUUGGGAAAGGGAGACUGGAAUACUUUGACCCUCCAAAUGACAAACUGUGUCCUCUUUCUAUCACUUCUUAUCAACUCCACUCCCCACCCUAGACACACAUCAUUGAUCACGCUCUCAAGUUCGAAGGUGAAUUAGAACUGGAAGGAGGCUGGGAAUGGGGUAUCCCGUCACACCCUUUCUCUUGCUUCCUUUGGGAAUGAGGGGUCCUGGAGGAACAAUAGCUUUCCUUAGUCCCUUCUUCCUGCCUCAGGUUAGAAAAGACAGGAGGAGGAGAUGGGAAAGAGUGGAGACGACAAAGACCCCUUCCCUGACAGGCAUGAGAUGGGAGAAGGAGGGGCUUAAUCAGAGUGGGUUGUUAUCCUGAAGGGGGGGGUGUCUCCAGACAGGGGCAGCACCCCCUGUUUGCUGCCUUUCCAGGGAGGGCAGCACGAGAAAGAAAGAGGGAGGCAAGCGAAAUUCCUGAAUGGAUAGACAGAUGCUACGUCAUCGGAGCCGCAUCCUCCACUCCACAAGAGGCUAGGAGCCGGAGAAAGAGGCAGGCCAGCGGCAGGGGCCACCGAGCCAGCGCGCCUCCUCCCAGAAGCCGGAGCAGAGCAUCGGAGAAGAAGCAGCCUCAUUUGCUUCUGGUGUCAUCGUAGGUGUCCACCUUUGGCUUUGGGGUUUUCACCUGGGGUGAAUGGGUGUUCCACCACUCUCCUGCCCUCUUUCCGCCACAAGAGCACCAGAACCCUAUCCAGCACCACGGACAGCUCCCAGGCGACGAAUGAGGUGGCUGUGCUGACCCCCUUUGCAGGGGUUAGGAGGGGCUCCUGUCUGCACGGUUAUAUAUCAAAGACUAGAAUUUUAAUCUUUGGGAGUUGUUUGCAGGCAAUUGAUAAGUCUCAGGGAGAGGAGGAGGCUGAUGGCAGUUGUCAUUCCAUCUCCAGGAAAUUGGGUUUGUCUACUUUGGAGAGUCUGAAUGAGAGGGCUCCAGCAGCAGGAAGGCUGAGGGUUAAAUUUCUGGAAGAAUUUAAGCUAAGGUCAUAUAGGAUUCAGGCUCCCCUGGUGGCUCAGAGGUAAAUAACCCACCUGCCAAUCCAGGAGACACUGGAGACCCUGGUUGGAUCCCUGGGUCAGGAAGAUCCUCUGGAGGAGGAAAUGGCAAUGCACCCCAGUAUUCUUGCCUGGGAAAUCCCAUGGACAGAGGAGCCUGGUGAGCUAUAGUCCUUGGGGUUGCAAAAGAGUCAGAUACAACUGAGCAAUGAAACAAUAACAACACGUAAGAAACAGAGUGUGUGGAUCAGGUAGAGCCUUAGAUGGCAUCAAUUCUAUAUCCCUCAUUUUACAGAUUCCCAAGAGAGUGGAAGAGAUAUGACCAAGGUUACUCAGCUGGUUAGUGGAAAGGCCAAAAUCCUGGUUUUGGAUUUGGCUUUGGAAAGGCCAGGCUCCUGGUUUCCAUCCUGGCCCUGUUUAUUGUAUCUGAUACCUCUUUAAGGACUCUCCCUGCUUGAGUUGGGUAGAGCAGGCCUAUUGCAGGUAGGUAGAGUUCACCGAUUGUCCCCAUACAAAAAAGGACAGGAUAUAUGUCCGGGCAUAUGAGGUGUCCACACAAGCCAGGAAGAGCUGGAAUUGACUGUUCUGUCUGAGAAGGUUUGAAAGGGAGGCCUCAGGGAGAAGCACAGGGGAAGGCAUACCUAGCAGUAGUUGAUAAGCCCAUGGGAGGAAAAGCAAGGAGGCAACCAUC
Bos indicus x Bos taurus (hybrid cattle) is the source of this 2047-nucleotide long non-coding RNA. The record is from Ensembl. NCBI's taxonomy places the organism in Eukaryota, Metazoa, Chordata, Mammalia, Artiodactyla, Bovidae.